GCCUGUGACCAAGUCACGUGGAAUGUGCCUGAUCCCAUCAGAUCGCCGAAGCUAAGCAGGGUUGAGCCUGAGUCGGACUUAAAUGGGGGACCACGAUGCACAAAAGGGUUGUCAUAGGGC
Molecule: ribosomal RNA, 120 nt
Filed under: Petromyzon marinus (sea lamprey)
Lineage: Eukaryota; Metazoa; Chordata; Hyperoartia; Petromyzontiformes; Petromyzontidae
Source: RNAcentral